Molecule: ribosomal RNA, 360 nt
Filed under: Triticum aestivum (bread wheat)
Lineage: Eukaryota; Viridiplantae; Streptophyta; Magnoliopsida; Poales; Poaceae
Description: partial small subunit ribosomal RNA
Source: RNAcentral
AUGUUAUACCACGGAAUUCCCAGGUUGAUUACGCCCGUUCCUGUUUCCCAAAAAAGAGACAUCUCCGGUGUGGCCGCCCCGCCUCCACCUCCUCUCCCUGGCUUCGGCCGUCGCCUUGCGCCCCACCUUCUCCCCUGGCUCCGGCCGUCGCCCCGUGUCCCACCUUCUACCCCCGACUCCGGCCGUCCCCCACGCCUCACCUUCUCCCUCGGCUCCGGCCGUCGCCCCACGCCCCACCUUCUCCCUCGGCUCCGGUCGCCGCCCAAUUCCCCACUAUCUCGUGCCCCUGGCCGCACCCCAUCCACCAUCCCCAUCGCCGGCCGCCCCCAUCCGCAGCGCGCCUGCCGUCCCCAUCCCUAG